UAGGGAAUCUUCCACAAAUGGACGCAAGUCUGAUGGAGCAACGCCGCGUGAGUGAAGAAGGUCUUCGGAUCGUAAAACUCUGUUGUUAGAGAAGAACACGAGUGAGAGUAACUGUUCAUUCGAUGACGGUAUCUAACCAGCAAGUCACGGCUAACUACGUGCCAG
RNAcentral lists this ribosomal RNA (165 nucleotides) under uncultured bacterium. RNAcentral describes it as "partial 16S rRNA". It matches the Rfam family "Bacterial small subunit ribosomal RNA", at positions 355 to 511 of the family's 1533-position model. The record is from RNAcentral.